AGCAGCCGCGGUAAUUCCAGCUCCAAUAGCGUAUAUUAAAGUUGUUGCAGUUAAAAAGCUCGUAGUUGAAUUUCGGGACCAAUUUGUUGGUCGUGCCUCGGUACGUACUGGUAUUAUUGGUUUCUCCCUUCUGAAGAACCUCGAUGCCAUUAAUUUGGUGUCGUGGGGAAUCAGGACUGUUACUUUGAAAAAUUAGAGUGUUUAAAGCAAGCAUACGCUUGAAUACAUUAGCAUGGAAUAAUGAAAUAGGACGUUUGAUUCUAUUUUGUUGGUUUUUAGGAUCGACGUAAUGAUUAAUAGGGAUAGUUGGGGGCAUUAGUAUUCAAUUGUCAGAGGUGAAAUUCUUGGAUUUAUUGAAGACUAACUACUGCGAAAGCAUUUGCCAAGGAUGUUUUCAUUAAUCAAGAACGAAAGUUAGGGGAUCGAAGACGAUCAGAUACCGUCGUAGUCUUAACCAUAAACUAUGCCGACUAG
RNAcentral lists this unclassified non-coding RNA (474 nucleotides) under uncultured Glomus. RNAcentral describes it as "SSU rRNA". It matches the Rfam family "Eukaryotic small subunit ribosomal RNA", at positions 569 to 1049 of the family's 1831-position model. The record is from RNAcentral. Lineage: Eukaryota; Fungi; Glomeromycota; Glomeromycetes; Glomerales; Glomeraceae.